Long non-coding RNA from Solea solea (common sole), 1142 nucleotides. RefSeq lists it as uncharacterized. NCBI's taxonomy places the organism in Eukaryota, Metazoa, Chordata, Actinopteri, Pleuronectiformes, Soleidae. The record is from RefSeq and is a predicted model, not a curated record. The transcript is spliced from 10 exons.
AACUAAGUCCUCUUUCCUUUCGUCUCCAUCGUCCGUGUAGUCGCUUCCACCCGAGCUGCGCCACUUAAACUAGUUAUGAAACUUGAUAUAACCUGGAAACUGCAGUAGAAGGCAAUAGUUAGACGGUAGUUAAACGAAAGUGUGUGUUUUUAAACAAAACGCGGUUCGUGUGGUCGUUAGCUGCUGAGAUUGUUGAGUGCACGCGCUUAGGCGGCCACGUGGAGAAGCUGGAACAUGGAGGAAGAUGAUAAGACGAGGGGGAACUUGGUCUCAGCUCCUCACAUUACGACGUCUCGUGCAUUUGAGGACAGACUGUGCACAAUCGAGGAGAUGCUGGUGACAUCUUGGACGAUACACCUGACUAAUGAGCUGCAUGAUGGGUAAAGCUGGAUGUGGAAAGAAGGUGCCUCAUUUUGAUGUGGCUGCAGCUAUUGGAGAUGUUCUUAUUCUGCCAGUCUGGCCCUGUCGCCUAAAGUCUGCUGUUCAGUGAUUUUCAACAGGUAAAGCUGGAUGUGGAAAGAAGGUGCCUCAUUUUGAAGUGGCUGCAGCUAUUGGAGAUGUUCUUAUUCUGCCAGUCUGGACCUGUUGCCUAAAGUCUGCUGUCGAGUGAUUUUCAACAGGGUCGGGCUGCACGUUGAAGCUGGAAAGGUGCCUCAUUUUGAUGUGGCUGCAUCUUCUGGAUGAUCUGUCAAGAGUGUACUCUGCCUUUUGCCCUUUUGUCAGCUGUGAGUGGCACAGUGGCACCCUCAUGUGGAGUGGUAGAAGAUGGAUGGAGCUGUUGGACAGAUCCUUAUUCUGCCAUUCUGGUCCUGUCGGCUGUGCAGUGAUUUUUAACAGAUGUCGACAAGCGUGAUGGGUUAUGAUUCGAGGAUGGACGUGUGCUUAUUCAAAAAGCACGAGACCCUUUUACUUCCUCACCCACAAUGGCAAGAAUUAAGAACCUGACGUGAUUUGAACUGCAACCUUCUGAUCUGGAGUCAGACCCUGCUGUUACAACAUAGUCACACACAUGCUGACAGAGGCUUGUGUAAAUGGGGUGAAUUCUGUCAUCUCAUUGCAAUGCUUUGUAACUCUAUGAGCCAUCCAUCUAAACUAAUGACGUUGCAAAAACCUAAUAAAAUGAACAUGUUGGGUAAUUUUCA